AAACCGAUGAGCCACCCAGGGAUCCCCUACUAUGUUUUUAAAGGGUGACAGUUUCAUAAUGGAUUAGAGAGAAAAGAUGUCCUGGAGAAACUGCUCUAAACUCUGAGGAGGGUCAUCACCUUUGCCUGAAUCGACCAGUGUACAGUUCUGUACCCAUGCCCGUUAUGACCGUCUUUGAUUUGUUGACCAAUGUGGCUUACGUCAUCCACUUAUGCUGUCUCUCCUGAGUGGUGAUGCUGUGGCUGUGACACUUGGUAACAAGAUCCUAAGCCAUGUUCGGAGACUCAUUCCUACUACAGUGGCCGUGGCUUGUGCCAGCGAACUGAACUCCUCAACCAUUAUAACAUCCAGUUGAAUAAACCAGCUCAUUCAAAGUGACCUAACAGAUUCAUCCAAGGUCAUAUCAGUGAACAGUAGAGCUCAGGACUCACAACUCCUGACUCCAGUCCUAAUGGCUUUCCCAUCUGCUUGCCUCCUCUUCCUACUAAUGACUGAGACCUGCUUCUGUCCGGUGAGAGAUAGGAUUUGGCUCCCAUUUUUUUUUUUUUUUUUUGGCUCCCAUUUUUUCAUUUUCUCUUGAUUGUCUUUUAACAGUUGCACUAAAUCUCAGUGGGCAGCACUUGGUCCUAUCUGCUCUUUUCCCAUCCUUUUUCUUACUUCUAAUAAGCAACUAAAAAAAAAGAAAAAUAGCAAGUACAAGGGGAUUUCCAGUUCUUUUAUCUGGUUCCUAUUUGGUCUUUGAUUUUUCAGAAAAAAAAAAAAAAAACCUCUUAUGUGUACCAUCUCUUUUGCUUGUCCUCCACAGUUACAUUAGAAAUAUCAGGGAUC
This is a long non-coding RNA of Canis lupus familiaris (dog), 828 nucleotides long. RefSeq lists it as uncharacterized. The record is from RefSeq and is a predicted model, not a curated record. NCBI's taxonomy places the organism in Eukaryota, Metazoa, Chordata, Mammalia, Carnivora, Canidae. The transcript is spliced from 5 exons.